RNAcentral lists this ribosomal RNA (465 nucleotides) under uncultured Klebsiella sp. RNAcentral's name for it is "bacterial SSU rRNA". It matches the Rfam family "Bacterial small subunit ribosomal RNA", at positions 338 to 795 of the family's 1533-position model. Lineage: Bacteria; Pseudomonadati; Pseudomonadota; Gammaproteobacteria; Enterobacterales; Enterobacteriaceae. The record is from RNAcentral.
CCUACGGGCGGCUGCAGUGGGGAAUAUUGCACAAUGGGCGCAAGCCUGAUGCGGCCAUGCCGCGUGUGUGAAGAAGGCCUUCGGGUUGUAAAGCACUUUCAGCGGGGAGGAAGGCGGUGAGGUUAAUAACCUCAUCGAUUGACGUCACCCGCAGAAGAGGCACCGGCUAACUCCGUGCCAGCAGCCGCGGUAAUACGGAGGGUGCAAGCGUUAAUCGGAAUUACUGGGCGUAAAGCGCACGCAGGCGGUCUGUCAAGUCGGAUGUGAAAUCCCCGGGCUCAACCUGGGAACUGCAUUCGAAACUGGCAGGCUAGAGUCUUGUAGAGGGGGGUAGAAUUCCAGGUGUAGCGGUGAAAUGCGUAGAGAUCUGGAGGAGUACCGGUGGCGAAGGCGGCCCCCUGGACAAAGACUGACGCUCAGGUGCGAAAGCGUGGGGAGCAAACAGGAUUAGAUACCCCAGUAGUC